RNAcentral lists this long non-coding RNA (5973 nucleotides) under Marmota monax (woodchuck). Lineage: Eukaryota; Metazoa; Chordata; Mammalia; Rodentia; Sciuridae. The record is from RNAcentral.
UGAAGUGGGGAGCACAGAUCUCCUUCCUGCAAGGCGGAGACUGGGACCCGCAGUUCUGGUGAAGACAUCAAGGGAACAGGAUAAUCCACAGGUGGGACGGUGGGUUCCACUCAGCACCGGGGACCCCACGCCCACUUCCCUUCUCCCGUGGCUGCGGUGGCAAGGACAAUCUCUCGGCUUGUUUUGUGCAUUAACUUCUAAGCCAAUUACGUCUCACUGGACGGAUGACUUCGUUUUCUUAGUCUGGUUUAUGAAUUAUUGAGAAGCCUGUGAACUCUGAGUUGAUGUUCUGACCAGAUCAAUGAAGUCCUUCCUCUGAAGGAUAUAUUCCUAGACUCUCAUGGAGUGGGUGUACAUGCACGUGAGUGUGUUUGCCUGCAAAAUCUUGAGGCCCUUUAAAACAAUCAAAAUGAAAGAAUUGAAACAAUUUGCUGCUUUCUGAGCGCUUGCUAGUUAUCUUUUACUGUUGCAGAGUCAAGGUCUUUUUAUAGACCACAUUACAAAGACAUUAACCCUGGAAUUGAUGUGGAAAUUCACCUCCCCCCUUGGAAUGAUUUGAGUACUUUUAGUUUAAUUUGACCUUAGAGUUGAGAUAAACCCUCCACUUCCUCUCCUGGCUUAUCAAAAUGGAAAAUAAUAUUGUUUUUUGGAAAAAAUCUCACAAACUAUGUGAUGCCUACCAGCCAUAUGCAAAUGCUUUGUUGGAUGUAAUGUGGGAGGGAGAGAGAAGCAAUAGGGCUUUACGUUUCCUAAUUUUUCCAAGCAGGGAGGCAAGUCAAGCCAGUAAACAAACACCAGUCUGCUCCAGUGUAUUAUCUUAGCCCUUGCCAUGUUCUACUUUCAGAGGCUGCACUGUUAGUCACCAGGAAGAAGCAAUUCAUGUAUCAGGAGCAGUCAUUACCCAACAACUGAAUCUACAUAACCUCCCCACACCCUCCUGUUAACCAUUUAAGACUGGUGCAAGAUCGCAUUUCACCUGUUGCAAUUAAGCCCAACACGGCCCUGCAAUGCUUUGAUAGCCACUGGCACUCACUCUUCCAGAUUGGAUUCUUCCAAGUCAUUUCUUGGCUAUUUACAACAGUUCAACUAUUUUUGUUGAAGGGUUAUAAAGAUUGACAUCUAUGGCAUUCUUCUUUCUGCUGGGGGAGAUUUUGCUUUCAGCUUUCCUGGCUUGCCUUGAUUUAAUAAGCAGCUAUGUUCAAUGGGGUCGCCAGCUGGUGGAAAUGGUGGCUAGAGUUUCCCUGGGAGUACAAUGCCCCCCACCCAGGCUCUGAUCAGUCCCCAACAGCUGUGACUGAAUGGGCGCAAGCCCAUUUAUUCUCUUGGAGGUACAGUAAGGACUGCUGUUUAUCCCCGUUGUCUGUGCCUCAAAGGGCAGCCUGGUAAUGUGCUUGCGAUCCAGCCACAAUGGUCAUGUUGAGGGGCAGGGCGUCCAGUGGGUGAUCCAUCAGCUGCCCUCACAUAAAGUGGGUCGUGAAGCUGGCAGGGAGGCAGCAAGGCAGUUUCUGUGUUGUUGCUAGGGAUGCCACAUUGAAUAUCCCAUUGCUCUGUGCUCGAAAUGAGGAAAAAGUGACAUUCUGCCUUCCCCUGCGAGAGUGGAAUACGUGAUUCACAGGCCUUCUGCAGCAUUCAUCAGACCUUGUUUACAUGGACAGGAGCCAAAAGAGCUGGAAGCCAAAGGGGUGUGUUUGGAAAGCCGAGGGAUGAUGUCAUCUGUCAGAGCAGCCGCAGCAAGCCACUUAACUGGCUUAGAUGCCUCCUAUUUAGCUGUGGAGCAAAUCCCAGUUUAAGUGUCGCAGGAGCACCACGGUGUUCUUGGGAUUUACAUGGUUUUACUAUGGUUUGUUUGUUAAAUAAUGUAACAUCAUCAUUUGUUAUUAUCUCAAGUGAGAAACAGCCUCGUCUACUGGUAAAAUGGAAAGAAGAAUGCUUUAACCUAUAUCAAGUGCACACGUGCGCAUACACACACACACACACACACACACACACCACAGGAAACAUAAAUAAGCAAUACUAUUGGUCUUGGCAAUGCACCAAUCAUAUUCCUUCACCGAGCACAUGCUCAUCCUCAAAUGAAAGGAUUUAAAUUUUCAGUGGAACUCAGAUGUCACGAGAAGACUCCCAGUAGCCUGUCCACUGCACCUUUCAGGGCUUUGAACCAAAUACAAUGAUGAUUGAGAAACGCAUGUGCUCUUCAUUACCUCGUUAUUUCAAAACAACUCAAUAAACAAUUGCUUCCUUUCGGGGGGAGAGGUGGAGCUGAGAUCUUCAAAGACAACUGAGAAGAACUUUGGUUUUGGAUGCCAAUGGAAUUCAACAAAUAUUUCUAUUUUCUCAGCAUUCACGCAUGACCUUUGGCUGUACACUCUGCCCUCUGGUUAUUAUUAGGAGCCCACUCCUCAGCUUCACCCCUGGUGUGGUAGAAUCUGUCCUUGUCAGGUUCUGUAAGGCACAGGUCUGUGAGCAAAGCACUGAACUCAGUGGUGAGAGGUGGGCGUGGUGCUUGUCAGGGCAGAACUUGGUCAUGUCAAUCAGACAGCAUGGUAGUUUAUUCGAGCGCCAUAGUGUAAUUUGGGCAUUUUAAUGUAAUCAUGUCAAUACCCGAAUUACAAACUUUGCUUUUUUGGGGGAGGCUCUUCACAUUAGUUCUUCUGGAUAAAACCAUUUAUGUCCAUAUUAGAAUUUUUGUCUAUUUUUGAAGGAUUCUAAGAUGAUUAAGAUGAAAGAUGUUCUUUCAAAAAAAGCAAACCACCACCACUAAGAACAAAACUGAAGUUCAGGUUAAUCUACACACUAGCAAGUCAUCCUCCAAUAAUUAAUCAAUUUUGCUCUACUUGGUAUAUAAAGAUGUAAAAUAUUUUAUAAAAGUGAACAAAGGGAAGGAUUUGGAUUUAUUUGGCCAAUAACUCAAAUAAUCCAAUAACUCAAUAUAUUGUAUUGCUUUUAUCUCUAGUGGUAUGUGAGCAGUUUAGCAGCUUCCUCGUGAUUCUCUUGGGGUUAGGCUGGGGCAGUCAGUGGGGUAAGCAUUUAAAGAAAAUAAUGAAACAGCCUAUCAAGAACAAUAGGAGUGCAAAGGUCCUUGUAAGAGAAUUUUUGGAAAAAAGAUGGCUUUCAGGGUUUGACAAAUGACAAGGUGAUAAUAGCAGGCUUGAGAUGGCCUGACUUCUUGGAAGCAGAGAUUCUACUUUUUGAUAGGAAUUGACACUACACUUAAUCUUCUGAGACUGAAAAAAUUGGAGUUUCCUGCAUUCAGGAGACUUUCAGAAUAGUUCUUUAAAACUAGUGCCUCCUGGCUUUGCCUCUGGAUGCCUCUUCAUGCUGACUUGGGCUCUGGCUUGGUAUCUUCAGGAUUCACCCUCAACAUUGUCCUCCAUGCCCUGGGAAAUUUCAUCUUUGCAUGAUUUUUUCAGCUCCCUGGGGACAUAGCAUGGGAAGUGAGCCCUAUUCCUUCAAUAAGAAAGCGGGCAAAUUCCUUCCAUGGAAUUUGGGUGUCCAAAAUGUUUUGGACACCCAAGAAAUAUCCAGUAUUUUGAUAGAGAAAGAAAUGGUUUGUUCAGGGAUGUUAAUGUAAUCCUGCUUCAUAAAAGCCAUGUGAUUGUACAAGAACAUAUUCGUUUGCUUUCUAUUGCCAGAAAAUAUCAAUGGUCAUCCAUGUAGACAGAAGAAAGUUGGAAAUUGUGGUAGCUAACCACUUAAGCCUCAGACACUUUUUUGUUUGUUUCAGGUACUGUAUUUUAUUCUUCCUUUGUCUUUGAUGUUCAAAAUGGGUCCACUUCACCCAAAUUGAAGUAGAGAUUUAGUAAUUAGCCACAUAACAGAAUCAACAAAGAUGGUAAAAUCAUUAACCAUAAAAUGCAAAGAGAAACUUUUUAGUGCAUGUAUAAAAUUAAAGGGAAAACAGUUAAAUCUUUCCCACUUUGGGUUACAGUAGGCAUGGCCAUAUAAAGUUCUUUUAAGGAAGAGGUUGUUUUUCAUUUAUGGAACAACAAAUAAUAUUAUGAGUACAAUCAGGAGUCAGAAAUGCCAAAUUCAUCUGUAUAAUUGUAAAAGAAGGAAAAAGAGUCUCUUUUGCUUAGAAGUAAUUAUGGAGCAGGCAGUUGACUUAACUUUGAAAUCCUUUUAAUGUCACUGGGGAAAUGUUUGAAUGACUGUUAUGGAGUCUUUCAAAUCAUGCCAUGUGACUUCUUCAAAGAGCCCUAUGAAUAGAGUAUGCUUUCAGUCACACACCCCUAAGAUGCCGGUUUCCUGUAGUUGAGGGAAAGCUUUAGUUUUUGUGAUGGUUUAAGAGUUGCUCAGUUUGGAAACCUAGGAGAGACUUACAGAUUCAAAAUAAUACUGAACCAAAUUAGAAUUUCUCCAAAUAUUUCCCAAGAAUCCAUAGUUCCUCCUGUUGCUUUCAAAUUACUCCACAGAGGCAAAGGGACCAGCCGCAGCAGAAGAGGAAUCCUCAGCCCCAGGCACAAACUACCCAAACAACUGAACCCAAAUUUCCCUGCACACAUAGAGAUAUUUAAAACAAGUUCUUUCCCAGGUUCUUAUUAGCUGACUCCUGUUAGCUUCCAAGUGCCAGUGUGGGGGAUGAGCAGGGGCAAGGUUUGGGGCAAGUCUUUGGACCGUAUUGUUCUGUGGCAUGAGAGUGACAAUGAUAUGAAUGCAUCGGAAGCCUUAAAUUAAUGAAUAGCAAGAAAAUAGCCAGAAAUGCUGCAUCUAGGCUGAUCUGAACAACCAAGGUGAAAGUGUGUCUCACCUGCGAGUUUUGGUUUUGUUCAGAGAUAGCUUAGAUCACAAUAUGAGUAGCUGGUGUUGAAUGUGAAGUAACAGUCCUGUUCUUUCCUCUUCUGAUUGUAGGUGGGUGUGUGUGUCAGGAACAGGCUGGGGAAAGUCUCAUCCCAUUUUAAAAAAUGCCUCAUUUCUCCAUUUUGUGCCCUUCUGUUUUAGGGAAUGGGGUGGUAGUAACUCCCCCAUAAAGCCUAUUCCACUACAGCGUUUGAAUCAGGCCGACUCUGUCUUGGCAUCUCUAGAAGGCCAGGGCUAAGGAUGAGGAUCGGGCAGAGAAGGGUAAACUGCUUCUGGGAGGGCAGUGGCCUUGGUGGAACUGUCCCUACAUCAUUUGGAAACUAAAGGUCAACGGAUCCUUCUCUCGAAGGAUAGGAGUUGUAUCAAGCCAAACUUUCAUCUGUGUGGAACUCCAGGAAUGUUUCAAAAUGAAAGGAAAAGAAUGAACAGAAGGGAAAACUGAAGGGUGCUUUUUAUUUAUUUAUUUAUUUUUUUUAGCACUUCCAUCUAAAAUGUUAAAUCAUGUUGUCAAGGUCACAAACUAUCCUGUGUGGAUUUUUUUUUUUUUUUGGUCACAAUUCAUUUUUCAUUUUUAUUAAUAGAAAAUAACAAUUAUUCCAGUUAUUAUACAGACAAUAGUAUGGCAAUAUGUAAAACAGUGGAUAUGUAACCGAUGUGAUUCUGCAAUCUGUAUACGGGGUAAAAAUGGGAGUUCAUAACCCACUUGAAUCAAAUGUAUGAAAUAUGAUAUGUCAAGAGCUUUGUAAUGUUUUGAACAACCAAUAAUAAAAAAAAUAAAUUAAAAAAAAAUAAAAAAACCCCGAAUUUAACAUUAAUCACUUAAUAAUCCUAGUUUGAUAAUGAAAACUGUGGCUUGAAAAAAAAAAAACACUAUUCAGCACCAUUUGCUUAUAGGUCUUUGAGAAUUUGUUCUUAAAGUGUCUGGGAACCAUCCUGUCUGCUAAGUGCAGGAACUGCUGAGCUGCAUGAGAAAGCCUCUCUGGGACAGCCAAUGGGAAGCUAAGCCACCAUUCCAAGAGGAGUCAGUGUACUUCAGCAAGGUAACUCCGAGUAUACAACAGUCCCCUCCCUACACUUCAGCCCAGGUGGGACAUGCUCUAAGCACUGAGGUAUGAGAAAUCAGAUUAUUAUUUACUGUUAGAAUUGAUCUUUCCAGCUAAUAACAGUAAAUCUCUG